Molecule: ribosomal RNA, 1063 nt
Filed under: uncultured organism
Description: bacterial SSU rRNA
Rfam family: Bacterial small subunit ribosomal RNA
Source: RNAcentral
UAACACAUGCAAGUCGAGCGAUGAGGCUCCCUUCGGGGGGUACAUCAGCGGCGAACGGGUGAGUAACACGUGGGUGACCCUCCCCAGAGACGGAAAUAACUCUUGGACACAGGGGCUAAUACCCGAUGUGCUCAGCAGUUCACUCUGUUGAGUAACGCUAUGGCGCUUUGGGAUGGGCCCGCGGCCCAUCAGCUAGUUGGUAGGGUAAAGGCCUACCAAGGCUAAGACGGGUAGGGGGCGUGAGAGCGCGAUCCCCCACACUGGCACUGAGACACGGGCCAGACUCCUACGGGAGGCAGCAGUGAGGAAUAUUGCGCAAUGGACGAAAGUCUGACGCAGCGACGCCGCGUGGGCGAUGAAGGCCUUCGGGUCGUAAAGCCCUUUUCUGGGGGAAGAGAAAGGACGGUACCCCAGGAAUAAGCCCCGGCUAACUACGUGCCAGCAGCCGCGGUACAACGUAGGGGAGCAAGCGUUAUCCGGAUUUACUGGGCGUAAAGAGCGUUGAGGCGGUUCAGUAAGUUGGGCGUGAACAGCCCUGGGCUUAACUCAGGGGAAGCCGUUCAAUACUGCGAAACUUGAGGGCAGCAGAGGGAGGUGGAAUUCCCGGAGUAGCGGUGAAAUGCGUAGAUAUCGGGAGGAACACCAGUGGCGAAGGCGGACUCCUGGGCUGCUCCUGACGCUGAAGGCGAAAGCUAGGGGAGCUAACGGGAUUAGUAACCCCGUUAGUCCUAGCCGUUAACGAUGGAUGCUAAUCUUUGGUGGCUGUAGAUUUCCUCCGUGCCGCAGUUAACGCGUUAAGGCAUCCCGCCUGUGGAGUACGCCUGCAAGGCUUAAACUCAAUCGUAUUGACGGGGGCCCGCACAAUCAUCUGAGCGUCUGGUUUAAUUCGAUGCUACACGUAGUUCCUUACCUGGGCUUGACAUACAGUUAGUAGUGAAGUGAAAGCGGAUCGAUCCUUCGGUGAGCCUGUACAGUUUCUGCAUGGCUGUCGUCAGCUCGUUCCGUGAGUUGUCGGGUUAAGUCCCGUAACGAGCGCAACCCUUGCUCUUAGUUAUACGUGUCU